Molecule: long non-coding RNA, 316 nt
Filed under: Elaeis guineensis (African oil palm)
Lineage: Eukaryota; Viridiplantae; Streptophyta; Magnoliopsida; Arecales; Arecaceae
Description: long non-coding RNA (EGUI_LNC064437)
Source: RNAcentral
GAGGCCAGGGAGAAGAAUAUUGAGAAUUGUAGAGAUACAAUUGAUAAAGAGUUACCUACUCUUGAACUCAUGAAUACUUGUUGUGCUAUCCACAAGGUGUUUGUGAGGAACAAAGAUCUCAACCCCACCAAGAAAUAUUAGUAUGCUUCUCAAUUUUCAUACUUGAAGGCUAUGAAGUUCAAUAAAAUAGUGAGAGACAUAAAUAGAUAAAAGUCCUAAUCUAGUUGUGUAUGUCAUCAUGAGUUAUCCGCUUAUAUUUUAUUCUUGUUAUUGUAGAUUAACUAUACAUAUGGCAUCCUCACUAUCACUUAGAGGC